UGGGGAAUAUUGGACAAUGGGGGCAACCCUGAUCCAGCAAUGCCGCGUGUGUGAAGAAGGUCUUCGGAUUGUAAAGCACUUUCGACGGGGACGAUGAUGACGGUACCCGUAGAAGAAGCCCCGGCUAACUUCGUGCCAGCAGCCGCGGUAAUACGAAGGGGGCUAGCGUUGCUCGGAAUGGCUGGGCGUAAAGGGCGUGUAGGCGGUUUACACAGUCAGAUGUGAAAUCCCCGGGCUUAACCUGGGAGCUGCAUUUGAUACGUGUAGACUAGAGUGUGAGAGAGGGUUGUGGAAUUCCCAGUGUAGAGGUGAAAUUCGUAGAUAUUGGGAAGAACACCGGUGGCGAAGGCGGCAACCUGGCUGCAUGACUGACGCUGAGGCGCGAAA
Molecule: ribosomal RNA, 387 nt
Filed under: uncultured bacterium
Lineage: Bacteria
Description: partial 16S ribosomal RNA
Rfam family: Bacterial small subunit ribosomal RNA
Source: RNAcentral